GACGAACGCUGGCGGCGUGCUUAACACAUGCAAGUCGAACGGCAAGACCCUGCUUUUGUGGGGUGCUCGAGUGGCGAACGGGUGAGUAACACGUGAGUAACCUGCCCUUGACUUUGGGAUAACUUCAGGAAACUGGGGCUACUACCGGAUAGGAGCUCCUGCUGCAUGGUGGGGGUUGGAAAGUUUCGGCGGUUGGGGAUGGACUCGCGGCUUAUCAGCUUGUUGGUGGGGUAGUGGCUUACCAAGGCUUUGACGGGUAGCCGGCCUGAGAGGGUGACCGGCCACAUUGGGACUGAGAUACGGCCCAGACUCCUACGGGAGGCAGCAGUGGGGAAUAUUGCACAACGGGCGGAAGCCUGAUGCAGCAACGCCGCGUGCGGGAUGACGGCCUUCGGGUUGUAAACCGCUUUCGCCUGUGACGAAGCGUGAGUGACGGUAAUGGGUAAAGAAGCACCGGCUAACUACGUG
This 468-nucleotide ribosomal RNA is filed under the name uncultured bacterium. RNAcentral's name for it is "partial 16S ribosomal RNA". It matches the Rfam family "Bacterial small subunit ribosomal RNA", at positions 28 to 507 of the family's 1533-position model. The record is from RNAcentral.